Molecule: ribosomal RNA, 253 nt
Filed under: uncultured bacterium
Lineage: Bacteria
Description: partial 16S ribosomal RNA
Rfam family: Bacterial small subunit ribosomal RNA
Source: RNAcentral
UACGUAGGGUGCGAGCGUUGUCCGGAAUUACUGGGCGUAAAGAGCUCGUGGGUGGUUUGUCGCGUUGUUCGUGAAAACUCACAGCUCAACUGUGGGCGUGCGGGCGAUACGGGCAGACUGGAGUACUGCAGGGGAGACUGGAAUUCCUGGUGUAGCGGUGGAAUGCGCAGAUAUCAGGAGGAACACCGGUGGCGAAGGCGGGUCUCUGGGCAGUAACUGACGCUGAGGAGCGAAAGCGUGGGGAGCGAACAGG